AUUGAACGCUGGCGGCAGGCUUAACACAUGCAAGUCGAGCGGUAGCACAGGGGAGCUUGCUCCCUGGGUGACGAGCGGCGGACGGGUGAGUAAUGUCUGGGAAACUGCCUGAUGGAGGGGGAUAACUACUGGAAACGGUAGCUAAUACCGCAUAACGUCGCAAGACCAAAGAGGGGGACCUUCGGGCCUCUUGCCAUCAGAUGUGCCCAGAUGGGAUUAGCUAGUAGGUGGGGUAAUGGCUCACCUAGGCGACGAUCCCUAGCUGGUCUGAGAGGAUGACCAGCCACACUGGAACUGAGACACGGUCCAGACUCCUACGGGAGGCAGCAGUGGGGAAUAUUGCACCAUGGGCGCAAGCCUGAUGCAGCCAUGCCGCGUGUGUGAAGAAGGCCUUCGGGUUGUAAAGCACUUUCAGCGAGGAGGAAGGUGGUGAGCUUAAUACGUUCAUCAAUUGACGUUACUCGCAGAAGAAGCACCGGCUAACUCCGUG
Molecule: ribosomal RNA, 490 nt
Filed under: uncultured bacterium
Lineage: Bacteria
Description: partial 16S ribosomal RNA
Rfam family: Bacterial small subunit ribosomal RNA
Source: RNAcentral